This 253-nucleotide unclassified non-coding RNA is filed under the name Borreliella garinii. Its description in RNAcentral is "partial miscellaneous RNA". The record is from RNAcentral. Lineage: Bacteria; Pseudomonadati; Spirochaetota; Spirochaetia; Spirochaetales; Borreliaceae.
CUGCGAGUUCGCGGGAGAGUAAGUUAUUGCCAGGGUUUUUAUUUUAUACUUUAAACAUUGAUUUUAUUUUUUAUGUUUUUAGAUGUUCAUGUUUUUGAAUGUUUUAUUCAAAUAAUAUAAAAAAUAAAAUAUAUAUUGUCAUGGGUUAAACACAGAUAUAUAUUAUUCUCUGUGGCACAAACAAAUUGGCAAAAUAGAGAUGGGGGAUAAAAAUAUGGGCCCAGUGAUAAGAGUCUCUGGGGAGUGCCCCCGA